CCUACGGGUGGCUGCAGUGGGGAAUAUUGGACAAUGGGCGAAAGCCUGAUCCAGCCAUGCCGCGUGUGUGAAGAAGGCCUUCGGGUUGUAAAGCACUUUCAGUGGGGAAGAAAGCCUUGGGGCUAAUACCCUCGAGGAAGGACAUCACCCACAGAAGAAGCACCGGCUAACUCCGUGCCAGCAGCCGCGGUAAUACGGAGGGUGCGAGCGUUAAUCGGAAUUACUGGGCGUAAAGCGCGCGUAGGCGGUCUGAUAAGCCGGUUGUGAAAGCCCCGGGCUCAACCUGGGAACGGCAUCCGGAACUGUCAGGCUAGAGUGCAGGAGAGGAAGGUAGAAUUCCCGGGGUAGCAGUGAAAUGCGUAGAGAUCGGGAGGAAUACCAGUGGCGAAGGCGGCCUUCUGGACUGACACUGACGCUGAGGUGCGAAAGCGUGGGUAGCAAACAGGAUUAGAUACCCCGGUAGUC
RNAcentral lists this ribosomal RNA (465 nucleotides) under Vreelandella stevensii. RNAcentral's name for it is "partial 16S ribosomal RNA". It matches the Rfam family "Bacterial small subunit ribosomal RNA", at positions 338 to 795 of the family's 1533-position model. The record is from RNAcentral. Lineage: Bacteria; Pseudomonadati; Pseudomonadota; Gammaproteobacteria; Oceanospirillales; Halomonadaceae.